RNAcentral lists this ribosomal RNA (513 nucleotides) under uncultured bacterium. RNAcentral's name for it is "bacterial SSU rRNA". It matches the Rfam family "Bacterial small subunit ribosomal RNA", at positions 15 to 518 of the family's 1533-position model. The record is from RNAcentral.
GAUAUGGCUCAGAACGAACGCUGGCGGCGCGUCUUAAGCAUGCAAGUCGAACGGCAAGAGGUAGCAAUACCUCCUAGAGUGGCGGACUGGUGAGUAACACGUGGGUGACAUACCCUUCAGAUGGGGAUAGCUAUUAGAAAUAGUAGAUAAUACCGAAUACGAGCACAGGGGUUAGAGAUCUGUGAGGAAAGGAGCUAAGGCUCCGCUGAAGGAAUGGCCUGCGGCCCAUUAGCUAGUUGGUGAGGUAAGAGCCCACCAAGGCGAUGAUGGGUAUCCGGCCUUAGAGGGUGAACGGACACAUUGGGACUGAGAUACGGCCCAGACUCCUACGGGAGGCAGCAGCUAAGAAUAUUCCGCAAUGGACGAAAGUCUGACGGAGCGACGCCGCGUGGAUGAAGAAGGCCGGAAGGUUGUAAAAUCCUUUUGAAACUGAAGAAUAAGCGUUGUAGGGAAUGACAGCGCGGUGACAGUAGGUUUUGAAUAAGCAACGGCUAAUUACGUGCCAGCCGCCGC